GGCACAGCUUGUACAGGAUAGGUAGGAGCCUUUGAAACGUGAGCGCUAGCUUACGUGGAGGCGCUGGUGGGAUACUACCCUAGCUGUGUUGGCUUUCUAACCCGCACCACUUAUCGUGGUGGGAGACAGUGUCAGGCGGGCAGUUUGACUGGGGCGGUCGCCUCCUAAAAGGUAACGGAGGCGCUCAAAGGUUCCCUCAGAAUGGUUGGAAAUCAUUCAUAGA
Molecule: ribosomal RNA, 223 nt
Filed under: Staphylococcus aureus
Lineage: Bacteria; Bacillati; Bacillota; Bacilli; Caryophanales; Staphylococcaceae
Description: partial 23S ribosomal RNA
Rfam family: Bacterial large subunit ribosomal RNA
Source: RNAcentral